RNAcentral lists this ribosomal RNA (578 nucleotides) under uncultured bacterium. Its description in RNAcentral is "bacterial SSU rRNA". It matches the Rfam family "Bacterial small subunit ribosomal RNA", at positions 338 to 916 of the family's 1533-position model. The record is from RNAcentral.
CCUACGGGAGGCAGCAGUAAGGAAUAUUGGACAAUGGACGCAAGUCUGAUCCAGCCAUGCCGCGUGAAGGAUUAAGGCCCUCUGGGUUGUAAACUUCUUUUAUAGGGGACGAAAAAAGGGCUUUCUAGCUCGACUGACGGUACCCUAUGAAUAAGCACCGGCUAACUCCGUGCCAGCAGCCGCGGUAAUACGGAGGGUGCAAGCGUUAUCCGGAUUCACUGGGUUUAAAGGGUGCGUAGGCGGGUAGGUAAGUCAGUGGUGAAAUCUUCGAGCUCAACUCGGAAACUGCCAUUGAUACUAUUUAUCUUGAAUAUUGUGGAGGUGAGCGGAAUAUGUCAUGUAGCGGUGAAAUGCUUAGAUAUGACAUAGAACACCAAUUGCGUAGGCAGCUCGCUACACAUAUAUUGACGCUGAGGCACGAAAGCGUGGGGAUCAAACAGGAUUAGAUACCCUGGUAGUCCACGCCCUAAACUAUGAUUACUCGACAUAUGCGAUACACUGUAUGUGUCUGAGCGAAAGCAUUAAGUAAUCCACCUGGGAAGUACGACCGCAAGGUUGAAACUCAAAUGAAUUGACGG